GGUAACGGCUCACCAAGGCGACGAUGGGUGGCCGGCCUGAGAGGGUGUACGGCCACACUGGGACUGAGACACGGCCCAGACUCCUACGGGAGGCAGCAGUAGGGAAUAUUGCGCAAUGGGGGCAACCCUGACGCAGCGACGCCGCGUGAGUGAUGAAGGCCUUCGGGUCGUAAAGCUCUGUCAUUGAGGGAAGAAAAAAUGACGGUACCUCAUGAGGAAGCCCCGGCUAACUACGUGCCAGCAGCCGCGGUAAUACGUAGGGGGCAAGCGUUGUCCGGAAUUACUGGGCGUAAAGGGUGCGUAGGCGGCCAAUUAAGUCAGAUGUGAAAGACCACGGCUUAACCGAGGGAUUGCAUUUGAAACUGGUUGGCUUGAGUAUCGGAGAGGGUAGUGGAAUUCCCGGUGUAGCGGUGAUAUGCGUAGAUAUCGGGAAGAACACCAGUGGCGAAGGCGACUACCUGGACGAAAACUGACGCUGAGGCACGAAAGCUAGGGGAGCAAACAGGAUUAGAUACCCUGGUAGUCCUAGCUGUAAACGAUGGACACUAGGUGCCGGGC
Molecule: ribosomal RNA, 558 nt
Filed under: uncultured low G+C Gram-positive bacterium
Lineage: Bacteria; Bacillati; Bacillota
Description: bacterial SSU rRNA
Rfam family: Bacterial small subunit ribosomal RNA
Source: RNAcentral